Molecule: long non-coding RNA, 783 nt
Filed under: Homo sapiens (human)
Lineage: Eukaryota; Metazoa; Chordata; Mammalia; Primates; Hominidae
Description: HSALNT0071207
Source: RNAcentral
AGGUUAAGCAAAUUACUCAAGGUCAUGUUCAGGCACUAUGCUAUGCAAUUGUGAGCCAGAGAUGGAGACAUAGCCCCUGACAAGGCUGUUGUGUGUGGUUGCCCAGCUUGAGCACUGCACAAAAUUGCCUCAUCCAUUGCAGAGGGCAAAGGAGGAUGAGGCUUGAAAUUUAGCCCAAGUUCUGCUCAUAAACCUUGGCCCUGACCCUGGCUACAUUGCACAAAUUCUACAAGCCAAGAUGUGUCUAUGAAGCUGACGCUAACCAGAGGCGGAAGAGCAUUACAAAUUGAGUGAAGCUCCUAGUUGGGUUAACGGCAGCCCUGGCCCCAGGAUCUCAAAAGCAGCCUGAAAAGCAGAUGAUGACAAUGGAACAUGGAUAUGCAGCCCCUGGGGCGAACCUGAGUGUUUGAAAUGCAUGGCAACAAUGUUUAAUUCAUGGCAACAAUGAAUCAGUGCUCUAAGGAAGAAAGAAGUGAAUGGCAAGAUUGCACUUGCCCUGACUGCCAGCCAGAAACUACAUUUCCCAGCAUCCCUUGCAGCUUGGUAUGGCCAUGUGACCACAUUCUCAUUAAUACAGGGAUCACAGGAUCUCAGGAUCUCACUCUGUCACCCAGGUUGGAGUGCACUGAUGUGAUCUCAGCUCACUGCAACCUCUGCCUCCCAGGCUCAAGUGAUCCUCCUACCUCAGCCUCCAGAGUAGGUGGGACUACAGGUGCAUGCCACCCUGCCUGGCUAAUUUUUGUAUUUUUUGUAGAGACAGGGUUUUGCCAUGUUGCCCAGGCU